GACGAACGCUGGCGGCGUGCUUAACACAUGCAAGUCGAACGGGGCGAAGUGAUAGCUUGCUAUUAUGGAGCCUAGUGGCAAACGGGUGAGUAACGCGUAGGCAACCUGCCCUUCAGAUGGGGACAACACCUCGAAAGGGGUGCUAAUACCGAAUGACGUUCCUAGUCGCAUGACCUGGAAACCAAAGGCCGGGCAACCGGUCACUGAAGGAUGGGCCUGCGUCUGAUUAGAUGGUUGGCGGGUAACGGCCCACCAAGUCGACGAUCGGUAGCCGGACUGAGAGGUUGAACGGCCACAUUGGGACUGAGACACGGCCCAGACUCCUACGGGAGGCAGCAGUGAGGGAUAUUCGGCAAUGGGGGAAACCCUGACCGAGCAACGCCGCGUGAGGGAUGACGGUUUCGGAUUGUAAACCUCUGUCCUCUGUGAAGAUAAUGACGGUAGCAGAGGAGGAAGCUCCUGCUAACUACGUG
This 473-nucleotide ribosomal RNA is filed under the name uncultured bacterium. RNAcentral's name for it is "bacterial SSU rRNA". It matches the Rfam family "Bacterial small subunit ribosomal RNA", at positions 28 to 507 of the family's 1533-position model. The record is from RNAcentral.